Molecule: ribosomal RNA, 379 nt
Filed under: Babesia canis
Lineage: Eukaryota; Apicomplexa; Aconoidasida; Piroplasmida; Babesiidae
Description: SSU rRNA
Rfam family: Eukaryotic small subunit ribosomal RNA
Source: RNAcentral
CAGGGCGAAUGUCUUGUAAUUGGAAUGAUGGUGACCCAAACCCUCACCAGAGUAGCAAUUGGAGGGCAAGUCUGGUGCCAGCAGCCGCGGUAAUUCCAGCUCCAAUAGCGUAUAUUAAACUUGUUGCAGUUAAAAAGCUCGUAGUUGUAUUUUUGCGUUGACGGUUUGACCAUUUGGUUGGUUAUUUCGUUUUCGCUUUUGGGAAUUUCCCUUUUUACUUUGAGAAAAUCAGAGUGUUUCAAGCAGACUUUUGUCUUGAAUACUUCAGCAUGGAAUAAUAGAGUAGGACUUUGGUUCUAUUUUGUUGGUUAUUGAACCUUAGUAAUGGUUAAUAGGAACGGUUGGGGGCAUUCGUAUUUAACUGUCAGAGGUGAAAUUC